AAGAAAUAACCCGGCCCAAUGUAAUGGCCCAACGAAAUAUAAAUGGGCAUAUGGAAUAAUAGUCCAUCAUAAACUUUACAUUAGCCCAAAUCUUUAAACAAUUAGAGCCCAUCAGCAAAUUAAAGAAAAAGGCCCAAACUUAAAAUAACUCGGCCCAAUUAACAAGGGAGUGGCCCAAAACAUAGCCCAAUUUCUCUCUCUCUUUCUAAACUCUCGAUCUCUCUCUCAUUCUCAAAUUCAAGGCCGCUCGUCCUCCUUCUUCUCUCUCUCAAAAAAUGUCGGUUCUCUCUCUUUCUCAAGGGGCCGCUCGCUCGCCCCUUCAAAAUCGAUCGGCCUCUUCUCAUCUCUGGUCGGCGUCAUCUUCCUCAGUUGUUCAGCCGUCAUCGUCUCUGAUCAGCUUCGGCUGCCGACGCGUCAACCUCAGCGCCGUUCUCUCUCCUCAGCGCAGAGCACCCAAAAUUGUGCCCUGGGUCUGAAUCGUCAUCGUUGCCGCCGAAAUUGGGCGGUUAUUCGCCGCCUGGGAGCGGCGUUGCUCCGGCCUGGAGCCGCCGCCGGCUGGAGUUGCUGCUGUUCGUCCGGUGGUCAGUGCCGACUGCUGCUGUUUCGCCGGAGUCGCGGCCUGCUGGACUUCGUCUGCCGCUGUUUUGUGAACCGGCGGGAGUCGCCGUUGGCGUCGCGCUGCCUUUGCCCUAAAAUUGGCAAGGCUGUUGCUCGACGCUCCGCCUCCUCUAUUGGGAACUACCGCCUCCCUGUAACGUCGUUGGAAGCUGCUCCGUACUCGAGCCCCUGCUCUUCUUCCUCAGAAAUCAGCCGUCGCCGCCACUGAAGAAUCGGCGAGGUCUCCGUGCUCCCCUCAUUGUUUUCGUCCGGCAGGUAGCCAGCCAGAGGCUGCCACCGCCACCGCCAAGGGGCAGUCGCCCUCCUCCUCGUUUAUUGAAACAGGUGAGUAAAGAAUGAAUGGAGGUAGGUUGCUGCUGAAUUGUUUGCUUGAAGGAGUGUUGGCUAGUAGCCUUAAAGAAUCGAGAUGGUGGAGGUGGUUUGAAUAGGUGGGGAGCAAUAGGUAGUGGGGUGGCAGCACACUUAUUUUGCUUUCCACUAACUUUAUGGACAUUUCUAUCUCUCUUCUUUAAUUGUUGUGCCAACUAGAGUGAGUGGCAGUAAGGUGGCCACGUAAAUUCAACCUUGUAAUAUACUAUAUGAUUUUCCCCAAGCUGGGAAGUAGACUGUAUUCGUGAACUAUAAUAAUAUACUGGUUUCUAUUCUCUAUCA
Molecule: long non-coding RNA, 1269 nt
Organism: Salvia miltiorrhiza (redroot sage)
Lineage: Eukaryota; Viridiplantae; Streptophyta; Magnoliopsida; Lamiales; Lamiaceae
Exons: 2
Source: RefSeq, a predicted model, not a curated record